GAUUUAUUUAUAUAUUUUGUUAAUAAACUGUGUUGAGGGUCGAAGAUAGUAUAUAUUUUCUCUAACCGAAUUAUCAGAAGAAAAAUUACGAAGGAUAAGAGAAAGUUCACGUAUAACCGAAUGAUCAGAAGAAAAAUUACGAAACGAUAAGAGAAAGUUCACUAGCUUUUCUUUAUCUUUAAUCUUUCGUAGUGCAAAUAUCAAAACGGACAAUUUGACACGAAAAAUCUAUACCGAACUGCAUCAUAUAACAUAUAUAAAUAACAUUAUUAUGAAUGGCUCUCCUAAAUUUUAUCUAAUUAAUAUCGGUUAAU
RNAcentral lists this small RNA (314 nucleotides) under Arabidopsis thaliana (thale cress). RNAcentral's name for it is "ATSL173620". The record is from RNAcentral. Lineage: Eukaryota; Viridiplantae; Streptophyta; Magnoliopsida; Brassicales; Brassicaceae.